RNAcentral lists this ribosomal RNA (499 nucleotides) under uncultured bacterium. Its description in RNAcentral is "partial 16S ribosomal RNA". It matches the Rfam family "Bacterial small subunit ribosomal RNA", at positions 28 to 507 of the family's 1533-position model. The record is from RNAcentral.
GACGAACGCUGGCGGCGUGCUUAACACAUGCAAGUCGAACGGGCCCGCUCUCUUUUUUGGGGGUGGGUUGAGUGGCGAACGGGUGAGUAUCACGUGAGUAACCUGCCCCCUGCUCCUGGAUAACUGCUUGAAAGGGCGGCUAAUACGGGGUGUGCCGGCUGGUCCGCAUGGGCCUGGUCGGGAUAGUUUCAUCUUCGGGUGUUUCGGUGGGGGAUGGGCUCGCGGCCUAUCAGCUUGUUGGUGGGGUGAUGGCCCACCAAGGCGGUGACGGGUAGCCGGCCUGAGAGGGGGGGCGGCAACACUGGGACUGGGACACGGCCCAGACUCCGGCGGGAGGCAGCAGUGGGGGGUAUUGCACAAUGGGCGGAAGCCUGAUGCAGCGACGUCGCGUGAGGGAUGGAGGCCUUCGGGUGGGGAACCUCUUUCUCCGGUGGUGAAGGCCCUGUCCGUUGCGGCGGGGUUGACGGUAGCCGGGUAUGAAGCGCCGGCUAACUACGUG